This 405-nucleotide transfer-messenger RNA is filed under the name Rikenellaceae. Its description in RNAcentral is "Alistipes sp900770635 Standard tmRNA". It matches the Rfam family "transfer-messenger RNA". Rfam says of the family: Bacterial tmRNA, also known as 10Sa RNA or SsrA, is named for its dual tRNA and mRNA-like properties. Its role is to liberate the mRNA from a stalled ribosome. To accomplish this part of the tmRNA is used as a reading frame that ends in a translation stop signal. RNAcentral also lists the same sequence under 1 other name. The record is from RNAcentral. Lineage: Bacteria; Pseudomonadati; Bacteroidota; Bacteroidia; Bacteroidales.
GGGGGUGACCGGUUUUGACAGCAGGUAGAAUUCGAUUGUAAGCAUGUCGAGCCUUGUGUGGGGUCUCGUAAAACUGAACGCUCAAGCUAUAAAUGGCAAUAACAAUUACGCACUCGCUGCCUAAUUUUCAGGGAAAAUUGGCUUAAUCGCGUGGCCCAAGGAGGUCGUGUGACGAGUAUCCCGAGAGGUUGUUCCGCUCUUUAACAGCCCUCUCAUCAUGGGGUAUCAUCAAUUUAGAGAUAGUGCGACAUGUGCCUCGGUUGUCGUGCGAAAAUUAGAGGCUGGGCCUCGGGUUUGGCUGCCGCCUGCCUGGCUCGAGGAGAAGGACGAAACGGUCGGCUAAACAUGUAGAAAGCUCUGGGGUUCCUUGUUUGGACGCGGGUUCGACCCCCGCCACCUCCACUU